GGGCCAUUAGCUCAGCUGGCAGAGCAGUUGACUUUUAAUCAAUUGGUCAAAGGUUCGAAUCCUUUAUGGCCCA
This 73-nucleotide transfer RNA is filed under the name Anaerolineales bacterium. RNAcentral's name for it is "tRNA-Lys". It matches the Rfam family "tRNA". Rfam says of the family: Transfer RNA (tRNA) molecules are approximately 80 nucleotides in length. The record is from RNAcentral. Lineage: Bacteria; Bacillati; Chloroflexota; Anaerolineae; Anaerolineales.